This 460-nucleotide ribosomal RNA is filed under the name uncultured bacterium. Its description in RNAcentral is "partial 16S ribosomal RNA". It matches the Rfam family "Bacterial small subunit ribosomal RNA", at positions 338 to 795 of the family's 1533-position model. The record is from RNAcentral.
CCUACGGGUGGCAGCAGUGAGGAAUAUUGGUCAAUGGACGAGAGUCUGAACCAGCCAAGUAGCGUGAAGGAUGACUGCCCUAUGGUUUGUAAACAUCUUUUAUAUGGGAAUAAAAUGUUCCACGUGUGGGAUUUUGUAUGUACCAUAUGAAUAAGGAUCGGCUAACUCCGUGCCAGCAGCCGCGGUAAUACGGAGGAUCCGGGCGUUAUCCGGAUUUAUUGGGUUUAAAGGGAGCGUAGGUGGAUUGUUAAGUCAGUUGUGAAAGUUUGCGGCUCAACCGUAAAAUUGCAGUUGAAACUGGCAGUCUUGAGUACAGUAGAGGUGGGCGGAAUUCGUGGUGUAGCGGUGAAAUGCUUAGAUAUCACGAAGAACUCCGAUUGCGAAGGCAGUUCACUGGACUGCAACUGACACUGAGGCUCGAAAGUGUGGGUAUCAAACAGGAUUAGAUACCCUAGUAGUC